CUCGCGAGCGUGUGCAAUUUUCUGUACUGCGAUGCACUUAACAUUUAUUAAAUUGGUGACGCUUCGCGAGGAAGUCCUCUUGCAAACGGACACGUAUCCUCAGCAAUUACUGUGGUGAAGUAGGUACUUCAUUUCAAAGUAUCACUGAGUCAUUCUCACGCAAGCAAUUCAAUAGAAUAGGCGUGUUAAAAGUGACUAUUUAUUUAAAUAAUGAAAAUUUAUUCGCAAUUUCUUCAGUAAAUUUUCUUAAUUUAGCAAAAUAAUAAUCGAAUGAUUCAAAUCAUUGAUGAUAAUGAAAGCAAUUAAGGAAAUUAAUCUAUCUUUUUUAUUCAUAAGUGUAAUUCAGUGCAAUUUGAUAAAAAUUUACGACUCUUCAACAUCCAGCAGACCAACUGUUCACUUCCAUGCUCGUAAGCUGCUAGAGUUGUGUUUUCCAAAUGAACUUAAUCCCGUUGCAAUUUCGGUGGAUUUGCUCGACGUAAUGGACGAAAUGCAGAGGAAUGAAGCCAUAAACUUCUCCAUCCUGGUAAUUGAUCAAGAUUUCAGCUCAAAAGUCAUUAAAAAAUACUUCACACGCCACCCCAGUUAUCUAAUAACAGCGGAUUCGAUGAAAAUCCUGCGGAAAACGCUUCAAGAAAUAAAAUCAUCAACAAUUUGGAACGUGGCGUCGGUGAUUGUUAUGAUUGGAGAAGACUGCGACCGAGCAGCGGAAAUUCUUCAGGAAGUUUGGAAAAUUGAAGCUCUUAAUUCUUUUUACGUUUGUCCGAACAAGUCUUCAAGUGAGAGCGGAGCAAGUAAAUGAUAGCUGGACACUCUAUAGACAGCCAUUUCGAGAUGAACAGAGUAUCUGUUCCAGCGUUAUAUUCGACAAGACCCGUUCGCUGGACGGAUAUUCUCUGACAGGCAAAGAAAAUCGAGUCUUCAAAGGAAAAAAAAUUUCGCCAGAAGUAUUUACCGAUCUAUCACCCAGUGAACAAUAUGUGUUUAUUGAAUUGUUCACUGCAUUAAAUGUUACACCGGUCAUUCAUACCAAAAAUACAGCUACAGCUGAUUUAUUCGUCCUGACAAAAUUAUUAGCCAUUGGUACGUACGAUAUGUUGUUAGAAUAUAAAAAAAGUGUAAAUGGCUUGCGUACUGCCUGAAUAUCUUCUCGAUGAUAUUACGAUCGGUGACCUCCACAUAUCGAAAGAAUCUUUCUUUAAGAAGUAUAAUUUUCUAACGACGCGAAAAAACUUUUCACUAAAAAACAAAAUCGAUAAAACUGCUAUGCACUUGGUUGAGGCUGGUUUUAUUGACUAUUUCGGAAAAAAAAGUCCAGUGAAACGUUACAUAAAGAAACAAAAACUCAUUGAUUGGAUUAAGGCGCUUGAACAGGAAGAAUUUUUGGAUUUACCUGAUUUUUCUUACUUUUUUUGGUGUCUCGCUUUUAUUGUAUCCUUUUCAAUUUUUGUGUCUUUGAUCGAAUUCGCCAUGUAUAAACUCAAAAAUUAUGUCAAAAAACGAGCGCGAUAAUUUGAAGUUAAAAAACUUAAAAUUUAACGACGAAUCGCGAAU
Molecule: long non-coding RNA, 1554 nt
Filed under: Cotesia glomerata
Lineage: Eukaryota; Metazoa; Arthropoda; Insecta; Hymenoptera; Braconidae
Description: uncharacterized LOC123262401
Source: RNAcentral